GAGACAGGCGUUGGAAGUUUUGAAGUAUGUGACAAACCUUUCCCCUUCUGAGAAAUGUUACAUGUGGAUGAUGGUAGCCAACGUCCGGUGUCACGAAUCGUAAAUACUGACAAGGUGUAGUUUUGACUAUGUAAGACAAAUCUGAAUAAAGGCAUCGACGUG
This is a long non-coding RNA of Gigantopelta aegis, 162 nucleotides long. RefSeq lists it as uncharacterized. NCBI's taxonomy places the organism in Eukaryota, Metazoa, Mollusca, Gastropoda, Neomphalida, Peltospiridae. The transcript has 2 exons. The record is from RefSeq and is a predicted model, not a curated record.